Molecule: ribosomal RNA, 274 nt
Filed under: uncultured bacterium
Lineage: Bacteria
Description: partial 16S ribosomal RNA
Rfam family: Archaeal small subunit ribosomal RNA
Source: RNAcentral
AAACCAGCACCUCAAGUGGUCAGGAGGAUUAUUGGGCCUAAAGCAUCCGUAGCCUGUUCUGUAAGUUUUCGGUUAAAUCCAUUAGCUCAACUAAUGGGCCGCCGAAAAUACUGUAGAACUAGGGAGUGGGAGAGGUAGACGGUAUUCGGUAGGAAGGGGUAAAAUCCUUUGAUCUAUUGAGGACCACCUGUGGCGAAGGCGGUCUACCAGAACACGUUCGACGGUGAGGGAUGAAAGCUGGCGGAGCAAACCGGAUUAGAAACCCCGGUAGUCC